CCACCAUCCGUCUAUUGCUUCUGCACAGGCUGUGGGCAAGAAAAGCAGCUCUCUCCUCGUUUCAUGGGCAGAGGGUGAUAACAGGGAGAGGCCAUCUUUAUUUGUCACUUAAUGGGCAACCUGGCCCUUGCUUCAGGGCAACCAGAUGCAUCUUUUGUCCUUAACCACCUCCACGUGGAUGGCUGCCCAUCAAAUAAAGCAAGACAUCUGCCUGGAAGGGCCAAUUUACCUCAAACAGUUCAUUGAAUCUGUGGAUGAGGAGCCACAGAAAAGGAGAGCCAACUAUAUGGUGGGGGCUUUCAGCACCACGGAAUGAUCAUGUCCCCCAGAGAAGACUCAUCCAUCUCUUUCAUGGGAAAUAAAGUUCCCUUCUGGGAGCCAAUGGAAGAAGAAACUAGUGCUCAGCAGUCAGUAUGCAAACAGUUUUAUUCAGGUUUCUAAGAAGCUCUGAGACAAAUUUAUGAUCCAUCACUGAUUCGAAUACAGUAGUGGGAUAUGCUGGCAGAUACCCUGGAAUCAACCAGCCUAAUAACAGAGCCAACAAAGUGGAGUCAAGAAACGAGAGGUGAGAAAUUGGGUCCGGAUGCCUUGUAUGAAUGCUGGAUCAAGCUGUGUCUGAAGUAGAAUCUUCCACUGUUCAAUUACGAACCACCCAAUUUUCCUUGUUAUUUGAGAUCAGUUUUCUCACCUCUUGCAACUAAAUAUCUUAAUCUGUAUAAGACUUUUCUUCUCAGCUAUAGUGACUUAAUGAGGCUUCUGAAGAAUUCACUAUAUAAUUUCACCAAUUAUCAUGCAUGGGGCAAGUAUCUCAGCUUGAACAUAAACCACAUCCAUCACAGGGACUGAGAUAUGUCCAGUCACCUUGUGAACUGGUAUAGUAGGCCUGCCAUAUGUGUGUUCACACAGGGGCUGAGUUGUGUCUGGAAGAGAAGCCCAGCCGCUCGGGGAAGGAAGCUAGGUUUACGUGCUUGGCCUAGUUGGGGGUGGGGUGAUUCUGGGAAUUGCACUGGGUUGCCCCUAGUUCCCUGAGCUGGAGCCUUCAGAGAGUGAGGACCAUGUGUGAACAUGGAAAGAAUUCCUCACUGCAACUUUUCUAAGAGCUGACAGUAUGUUUGGGUAUUUUCUGUAGUCUACAACACAGUUAUAGAGACCAGUCCUGACAUCUCCAAGGUUUGAGAACACUAGAGUAGGUGAAGGAUGAAGGCGAAAUACCAGCAGUGGAGGCAGGAUCUCGUGGGGAGACCCUGUCUGUCAGGAGUUGGGAAGCUGAGUUGACAAGUGGGGCCUGGCUGGUGCAGCAGCACUCACCACCGGCAGGGGAGCCGGCGCAGGGCCCGCCAGACCCACGGCCUCCUGGCAAAGGGAAAGCAGGAAUGGAGAAGAGGGAGAAGCAGUGGAAGACAUGUGAUUACUCACUGGACCUGGGCAUGUAGGAGACACCUCCUGGAGACUCAGAGACACUGGAUGAUGAGGGGUGCGGGGCGUGAAUUUGCAGAGAGCUCCACUUCUGCGUUGGGUUCUGCAUCAUUUCUGCAAUAUGAGAAAAAGAUCUUAAAAAGUAAGUUACUGUCAUAAAUGAUGCAUAAUGGCAGGUUAACCUCCCUGCCCUGGUGACUCUGCUCUGCUAGGCUGCUGGUGACACCAUGCCUGUUUCUCUCCUGGCUUGUGUCCCCAGACAUGUUCUCCUUCUAAAACCCUACUCUUCCAGGAAAAAAGUCUCCUCUGAUGUCUGCUAGGCAGAGCUCUAUACACCCUCCUCCGUGUUCCCUUAGCAUCCUUUAUAUAUGCCUUUUUAAUACUUUUCAGGCUUUCUUUAAUUUGCUUACACACAUGUCUCUUCCACUACACUCUGAACAACUUGUGCUAUUUUAUUUUUCCUAAACCCAGUACAACUGACACACAGUAUGUGCUCAAUAAAUGUUUGCAGAACUACCAACUAGAUUUUUUUAAAAGCUAUUUUCUAAGCAUGUCUUUGAGUGAGAAAAUAUUUGGAUCCAGAGUCUGCUUGAAUUGCUGCUCCAUUUUAUUUGUAAGAGUUCUGUGUGUUCAGUAUUGAACUUUUCUUGUUAUUUCUGCUUUACUGGGAAAUCACAGCUUCUCUUGUUAUUUUUCUAGACAAGAGGGGAUGUGGCUAGAAAUUGAGGGCAUCUGACUAGGUUUUUUGAAUUAGUGACCUUAAUCUCCAAUGCCAGAAUUAAUCUUUCUUUUGUGAGGAUCAUUUAGCUGAGAAAGAGUUAAUACUUACACUACUUCACGAACAAAUUGCCUCAUUCAGGAAGGGAAAAAAAAAUUCUCCCAGAAAAUUGGAUGUCAGCGGAUUAUUCCCCCUCAGAUCCAUGGAUUAGUGUGCGUGGGGAGGGCAUCCAAGUGGAAAAAAGUGUAAUAUCAAUGUAUUUCAGGGCAGCGCUGUUCUUUCUCACCACCUCAAUUACGGUUCUCUUCAUCAUAGGCAUCAUAUGAUGCGUGUCUCACUACCUACUUCACUUAAACCUAUUAUGGAACUUUUUUUGAUCAUUAAAUAUUUGAGAGUUCUUUAGAAUUAGGAUAUACUUGCAUCAGUGUUGCCUGAAUCAACGCUCUCAUUUUUCUCUUCACCCAGACAUUGGCAAUUCAAGAAUUAUUUAAGAUGAGGAGGACCUUAAAGUAUUAUUCCUCACUUUACAGCCUUAUCAUAAACAGUCAAUUUUAUUCAGUGAAGAUGUGUAGGCUUGUAAACUAUAUAAACAUGUAUUUUUUUCUUUUAUAAAGAUUCACAAUUUACAGUGCUUAUUGAAAAAGAUAAAUACUAGGCUUGGUAAGCCAAGAGUGAAGUUACUGAAUAUUUAAAAAAAAAAAAAAAAAAAAACCCUUUGAGGUAUGAGUGCUCUUUUUCCUUGAUCAUUUAAAUAGCCCUGGAUGCCUUGUAGAGAACCCUAAAUGCAUUCUUCAUUACUAAUGACAUUUUCAUGAAAGCGGAUAUUUCUUAUUUAACAGUCCAUCUAUCUCUCCUGCAUACUCUUUACCUUCCGCCACAAAAGGCUGCAGACAAGUUUAAGUUUUCACAAGGUGACUAAUAGAAUAAUAGGCCUGAUGAAUAUUCCAGGACCUUAGAUUUUUCUCUUAAGAUCGUCAAUCCAAAAGUCCUAAGAACACUGGCCAGAGGAAAUGUCUGCCUGAAAGAAAAUAGAUGGGGAAUCGUUAACAACCCCAGGAGGAGCCACAGCUAUUGAUCUUUGAGCUCCUGAACAUGUCAGUCAGAGUAAAUGACUUGGUGUCAUCUGAGAUGUUUGAAAGCCACCAUCAAGGCAGCAGGUGUGAUCCUGUGAUGCCAGGCAACUGCUGGUCUUGAAAGUGUUGUGAUAACACAUACACACACACACACACACACACACACACAAAGUGGGGUUUCCCAUUGGGAGAGGCAAAGGGGAGGUUCAGAUGAACAAAGAGCAGGGUUUGGGCUAACAUUGUGCUCUUGGAUGAUUCCUAGGUCUAGGCAGAAGACGUGUAGCCUAUUUUCUAAAUAAAAUUAUUUUUU
This is a non-coding RNA of Macaca mulatta (Rhesus monkey), 3517 nucleotides long. The record is from RefSeq and is a predicted model, not a curated record. Lineage: Eukaryota; Metazoa; Chordata; Mammalia; Primates; Cercopithecidae.